CACUGAAACACCAGUUUCCAUACAAUCACCAAAGUUAGGCAAUGUUAAGCCUGGUCAAUACCUAGAUGGGAGACCACUUGGGAAUACCAGGUGCUGUAAG
RNAcentral lists this ribosomal RNA (100 nucleotides) under Acanthosepion pharaonis. Lineage: Eukaryota; Metazoa; Mollusca; Cephalopoda; Sepiida; Sepiidae. The record is from RNAcentral.